UACAGAGGGUGCAAGCGUUGUUCGGAAUUAUUGGGCGUAAAGGGCGCGUAGGCGGUGCGGUAAGUCUCUAGUGAAAUCUCCGGGCUCAACUCGGAGCCUGCUAGGGAAACUGCCGUGCUUGAGGACUGGAGAGGAGACUGGAAUUUACGGUGUAGCAGUGAAAUGCGUAGAUAUCGUAAGGAAGACCAGUGGCGAAGGCGGGUCUCUGGACAGUUCCUGACACUGAGACACGAAGGCCAGGGGAGCAAACGGG
RNAcentral lists this ribosomal RNA (253 nucleotides) under uncultured bacterium. Its description in RNAcentral is "partial 16S ribosomal RNA". It matches the Rfam family "Bacterial small subunit ribosomal RNA", at positions 524 to 776 of the family's 1533-position model. The record is from RNAcentral.